AAAAAGAGUCUACAUUGAAAUCUGCUGAGCGGGAACUUUUAAAGGUGGACACACCCAAAGAUCACAAAAGAGCCAGAAAACCCAAGAUGACAGUUCAACUCCCACUGAAGACAAAAACUGGGAAAUGCCAAGAAUGAUGCUGUUGUAAACCACCAUGUAGGGACCAAGAUAUCAGUUCUAAGAAAAUCGAUCAAAACAAGAAUCUGUGAGUCAAGGCACCAAGUAAAGCAAAAAAACAAGAUGGACUGUUAAAUAAGAUAAUAGACUGGAUAUUUGGAGCCUUUAUAUCAUGUUUUCUUCCCUUGUUGUGGAUCCUGUUUAAAUGAGUGAUUAGCUUGUUUAAAGUUCACUUACAGAGAGUUCUAAAUCUGUCCAGUAGUUGAACGAGUGGCUGAAGGCCAAAUAAGUCAUUAGUUUGACAAGAUGGUUUUGAAGUGCUGUAUUUUAGUCACUUAGAUGGAAAAUAGGUUUGUAUCAAUAAAGUUUUCUUGAUUGCUUA
Long non-coding RNA from Monopterus albus (swamp eel), 499 nucleotides. RefSeq lists it as uncharacterized. NCBI's taxonomy places the organism in Eukaryota, Metazoa, Chordata, Actinopteri, Synbranchiformes, Synbranchidae. The transcript is spliced from 2 exons. The record is from RefSeq and is a predicted model, not a curated record.